Molecule: non-coding RNA, 1032 nt
Filed under: Pongo abelii (Sumatran orangutan)
Lineage: Eukaryota; Metazoa; Chordata; Mammalia; Primates; Hominidae
Source: RNAcentral
GGGCUGGUUGAGCUGCGCCGCUGCAGGUAGUGCUGAGUUGCUCCAGUGCCACUGGGUUAGGGUCUCCACAAUCGAGCUGGUCUCAGCAAGUGUUGUCCAUACAUGGGGCUCGAACCUGGGUCGAAGGGUCGCCAGAGCGACGGUUGGAGAACGUGGAACUAAGCUGGAGGACACCUGAGUACUCUUAAGCAAUCCCCGUGGAGGAGUUAAUCCUUGAGGAUUGGAACCUAAUUAUCUUUGGCAAAUGGAUGUCACCCACGUUCCCUCGUUUGGGCGAUUAGCUUAUGUACAUGUAUGUGUGGACACUUUUUCUCACUUUGUCUGGGCUACAUGCCAAUCAGGAGAGUCUUCUGCCUGUGUUAAACGUCACCUUUUGCAGUGUUUUGCGGUGACGGGCAUUCCAGCUUCUAUUAAAACAGAUAAUGUCCCAGGCUAUACUAGCCAAGCUCUAGCUACAUUUUUCUCUAUAUGGAAUAUUAAACACAUUACUGGAAUCCCGUAUAAUUCUCAAGGACAAGCCAUAGUGGAAAGAAUGAAUCUCUCCCUGAAACAGCAGUUGCAAAAGCAAAAAGGGGGAAAUAGGGACUAUGGGAUACCCCAUAUGCAAUUGAAUCUAGUAUUAUUGACUUUAAAUGUUUUGAGACUGCCUGAAGGCCAGAUGCUAUCAGCAGCUGAAUAGCAUGUACAGAAACCAGCUGCAAAGACAGAAGCAGAACAACUGGUUUGGUGGAGAGAUCUGAUGACAAAAAGUUGGGAAAUGAGUAGAAUAAUAACUUGGGGUAGAGGUUAUCCUUGUGUUUCUCCAGGACUGAAUCAACAGCCAAUUUGGAUAUCAUCAAGGCACCUGAAACCUUAUCAUGAGCCUGAUGCCGAGGAAGAGAUUCUGGGAGGAUCCCCCAGUUGCAGCCAUGUUGAGACUGACGCUGAGGAGGACCCCAGCUGUCACGAGCAACACCCACCAAAUGCAGCCACCUACCUGGGGACAGAUCAAGAAGCUGUCACAGAUGGCAGAAGAAAACCUAAGGAAAGUGG